AUACGGAGGGUGCAAGCGUUAUUCGGAAUCACUGGGCGUAAAGGACGCGUAGGCGGGUUGGCAAGUCAGAUGUGAAAUCCUACAGCUUAACUGUAGAACUGCAUUUGAAACUGCUAACCUAGAGUAUGGGAGGGGGAGAUGGAAUUAGUGGUGUAGGGGUAAAAUCCGUAGAUAUCACUAGGAAUACCGAAAGCGGAGGCGAUCUCCUGGAACAUAACUGACACUAAGGCGUGAAAGCGUGGGGAGCAAACAGGAUUAGAAACCCCAGUAGUCC
This 274-nucleotide ribosomal RNA is filed under the name uncultured bacterium. RNAcentral's name for it is "partial 16S ribosomal RNA". It matches the Rfam family "Bacterial small subunit ribosomal RNA", at positions 523 to 796 of the family's 1533-position model. The record is from RNAcentral.